RNAcentral lists this ribosomal RNA (1510 nucleotides) under human gut metagenome. RNAcentral's name for it is "bacterial LSU rRNA". It matches the Rfam family "Bacterial large subunit ribosomal RNA", at positions 829 to 2365 of the family's 2925-position model. The record is from RNAcentral.
CCAAUCGAACUCGGAGAUAGCUGGUUCUCCCCGAAAUAGCUUUAGGGCUAGCCUCGAUUUAGAUUACCGGGGGUAGAGCACUGAAUGGGCUAGGGGGCCACAAAGCUUACCGAACCCUAUCAAACUUCGAAUACCGGAUAAUUGAUGAUCGGGAGUCAGACAGUGUGAGAUAAGUUUCAUUGUCGAAAGGGAAACAGCCCAGAUCUACGACUAAGGUCCCAAAGUUCAAGUUAAGUGGAAAAGGAUGUGCAAUUGCGUAGACAACCAGGAUGUUGGCUUAGUAGCAGCCAUUCAUUCAAAGAGUGCGUAAUAGCUCACUGGUCGAGUGAUUGUGCGCCGAAAAUGUAACGGGGCUAAACUUGACACCGAAGUCUAGGCAGAAGGAAACUUCUGGGUAGGGGAGCAACGUGUACGGGCAGAAGCAGAAGCGGAAGCGACUGUGGACUGUACAGGAGAGAGAAUGCCGGCAUGAGUAGCGAGAGCAAAGUGAGAAUCUUUGCCGUCGAAAGCCUAAGGUUUCCUGAGGAAGGCUCGUCCUCUCAGGGUAAGUCGGGACCUAAGCCGAGGACAAUAGUCGUAGGCGAUGGACAAUCGGUUAAUAUUCCGAUACCGCCGAGCAACCGGAUGCAGUGACACAGAAGGAUAGGCAGAGCGUGGCGAUGGUAGACCACGUCCAAGCAGUGAGGCUGUUGUGUAGUGAAGUACGCACAACGAAAGGCUGGGCUGUGAUGGGGAACGAUUACGAUCGGUAAGCUGCUGAAUUCACGCUGGCGAGAAAAGCUGCUACGAAGCGAAGGCGCCCGUACCGCAAACCGACACAGGUAGGCGAGGAGAGAAUCCUAAGACGAGCGGGAGAACCCUUGUUAAGGAACUCGGCAAAAUGACUCCGUAACUUAGGGAGAAGGAGUGCCCAGGAAUGGGCCGCAGAGAAUAGACCCAAGCGACUGUUUACCAAAAACACAGGUCUGUGCGAAGUAGAGAUACGACGUAUACGGGCUGACACCUGCCCAGUGCCGGAAGGUUAAGGGGAAAUGUUAGGGCAACCGAAGCAUGGAACUUAAGCCCCGGUGAACGGCGGCCGUAACUAUAACGGUCCUAAGGUAGCGAAAUUCCUUGUCGGGUAAGUUCCGACCCGCACGAAUGGUGUAACGAUUUGGGUACUGUCUCAACAAGGGACCCGGCGAAAUUGUAGUAUGUGUGAAGAUGCACAUUACCCGCGAUAGGACGGAAAGACCCCGUAGAGCUUUACUGUAGUUUAACAUUGGAUUCCGGUAACAUAUGCACAGGAUAGGUGGGAGGCGGAGAAGCAGUGAUUUCGGUUGCUGCAGAGCCGACGUUGGGAUACCACUCUUGUGUUACUGGGGUUCUAACCUGUGGCCGUGAUCCGGCACAGGAACAGUGUUAGAUGGGCAGUUUGACUGGGGCGGUCGCCUCCAAAAGAGUAACGGAGGCGUCCAAAGGUUCCCUCAGAAUGGUUGGAAACCAUUCGAAGAGUGCAAAGGCAGAAGGG